GCCUGACGCAGCGACGCCGCGUGGGGGAUGAAGGCCUUUGGGUUGUAAACCCCUGUCUGGAGGGAAGAAGUAAGUGACGGUACCUCCGGAGGAAGCCCCGGCUAACUACGUGCCAGCAGCCGCGGUAAGACGUAGGGGGCGAGCGUUGUCCGGAAUUACUGGGCGUAAAGGGCGUGUAGGCGGUCUAGCAAGUCAGGUGUAAAAGGCUGCGGCUCAACCGCGGUUAAGCGCCUGAUACUGCUGGACUUGAGGGCAGGAGAGGGGGGCGGAAUUCCCGGUGUAGCGGUGAAAUGCGUAUAUAUCGGGAGGAACACCAGUGGCGAAGGCGGCUCCCUGGACUGGCCCUGACGCUGAGGCGCGAAAGCGUGGGGAGCAAACAGGAUUAGAUACCCUGGUAGUCCACGCUGUAAACGAUGGGUACUAGGUGUUGGGGGUAUCGACCCCUCCAGUGCCGCAGUUAACACAGUAAGUACCCCGCCUGGGGAGUACGGCCGCAAGGCUG
This 502-nucleotide ribosomal RNA is filed under the name uncultured Clostridia bacterium. RNAcentral describes it as "bacterial SSU rRNA". It matches the Rfam family "Bacterial small subunit ribosomal RNA", at positions 381 to 896 of the family's 1533-position model. The record is from RNAcentral. Lineage: Bacteria; Bacillati; Bacillota; Clostridia.